GUGGCCUCCUCCGUGGCCCCCACUUUUGACAGCACAGCCUGCUUGGCUCCUGAGAAGUGCCCACGUGGCACACCUCACCCCUGCCCCUGCUCUGCCUGCCACCUCUCAUGGCACCAAAGGAGCCUUUGUCCCUUCCUCAUGGGGGCUCUCAGCAGAUGCUGACGUUCUGACUGAAACAGAUUUGUAGAAUCAUGGAUUUUGAAGUGGGGACCCAGGUCCCAGUGUUUCAGUGGGUCUUUAAAAAAGAGAGAAAGGGAGAGAGAGAUGGAGAGAGAGAGAGAGAAAGUGAGCAACAGCACGAGAGGUCAUUCCGGACUCCUGACGCCGCCAGUCCCGCGGUGAGACGUGAGCGCCAUUGGCGUCCGUGGCCUCUGUUUCCGUGGCAACCUAGUAACCAUUAAUUUUCAAUUAAAGGAGACAAAAAGCUCGAUGACAGCUCCAGGUCUGCUGAAGAUGUCAAGAAUCUGUAUUAAUAUACAGCAAGAGAGCAUAAUUGUGUGUCCAUCUUCCAGAGCAGCGAAAAAUGGAGGGAUAAUUACCAGCUCGAAAGCCACUCUGUAAUUUAGUUCUUACUGUCACCACAGCCCUACACAUUAGCAUAAAUUAAAAGCAGAGUUUAUUGUUAUCAAAGUGCAUUG
Molecule: long non-coding RNA, 638 nt
Filed under: Homo sapiens (human)
Lineage: Eukaryota; Metazoa; Chordata; Mammalia; Primates; Hominidae
Description: HSALNT0106136
Source: RNAcentral